GAGGAGGAGAUCUGACCCGGUAUGGCGUCGGCUGCAUCCGGCAGUGCCCCGGGCUCGCGCAGGGGUCAGGGCGGGAGCCGCUCGCGGCGGCCCCCGACUUGGGAGAUCUCGGACUCGGACGCCGAAGGCUCCAUCAGUGCGGAGGCCGCCAAGAAGGCCCAGGACCCAGUCGAGAAGCGCCGGGCGGCAGCCGAGGCGCUGCGGCUGCUGCGGCCUGACCAGGCCCUGAGGAGCCUCACCGUGCGCGUGGACCCAGGUGUGGCUGAGGCCAUUCUGGAAGAUGCGAGUGCAGACAUCCUGAUGGAGGCCCUGGAGGCUUUGGGCUGUGAGUAUCAUGUCGAGCCCCAGUGCCCCACGCGGAGCCUUCGGUGGAGCCGAGUGAAGCCCGAUCCUUGUCCUUGCCCCUACAGCGUGUCUCCUGAGGUGUGGGAGGCAGAGGAACAGGAACUGCUGCUGCUUCUGGAGCCUGAGGAGUUUCUGUAUGGCCUCGCCCAGCUGACUCAGGUCUCUAGCCCAGCCCGCGCAGUGCCCUGGACCUUUCCUGAGAUCCCCUCCUGCCCUCAUCUGGCCAUUAUUGGGCUGGACGCUUACCUGUGCUCUCACCAGCCCAUCCCCAAGGAGGCACACCAGCCAGAGAGUCCAGAGGUGGCCCAUGCCAAGGUGGCUGUCAGCUGGCCAGAGGUGGAGGAGGCCUUGGUGCUUCUGCAGCUCUGGGCAAAUCUAGACGUGUUGCUGGUGGCCUCUUGGAAGGAGCUGAGUCAGCAUGUCUGUGCCAUCACCAAAGCCCUUGCUCAGCGCCCUUUCAAGCAGUACAAGGAGUCCCAUGCCUUUUCCUUCUGCACCGCAGGGCACUGGGCAGUGGGCAAGCCAGUGACAAGGGAUGGCACAGGGCUACGGAGGGUCUGGUGGAGGCAGAUCAGGCAGUUUAAUCGGGUCAGCCCAGCUGUGGCUGAUGCUGUUGUCACUGCCUUCCCCUCCCCCCGCCUUCUACAGCAGGCACUCAAGGCCUGCAGCACAGAGCAGGAGCGCAUGGGCCUCCUGGCUGACCUCCCAGUGAAGGCUGGUAAGGGCAUACGGCCCCGUAGAGUGGGACCUGACCUCUCCCGUCGCAUCUGCCUCUUCCUGACCACCACCAACCCUGAUCUCCUGUUGGACCUGGGCUCCUGACUACAGCUGCAGGACCUGAACAAAAGUUCUUCAAGGGAAGCCUGUUCCCUCUGAUCUUGCCUUUUACAACUGCACAGUGGCCACAGUUACUAAAUGAACUGAAUGAGUCAACAGGUGAGACAGCUGAGUAAGGAAGUCUCUGUCAGAGACAGGCACCUGUGGGGAGAUGGGUAGCCCCCUAAGAAACCACCUGCAGCAUGUGUUGCCCCAGAGGGAGCCUGCCUCUUCAGAAGCCACAAAGAACCAGGACCCAGGAAGCUCGCUUAGCUUCCAGGCAAAUGUGGUCUAUUAGGAACCAACUUCAGAAUAGCUGUCCUCUGAAGAGGAAGGUCCUACCCUGAAGAGAAAGCAGACCCAGAGGACUACAUGCCUAUGGCAUGGGAGGGGGACCACCCCAAAGCCAAGGUAGGCCCACUGAGUCAGGAGCCAGGGUCCAGAACUGAACCCUGAGGCUAUCACUCCAGCUCCCUGGGAAGGAGAAAGACUCGAUCCCACUGGCAGCUCUGUGGGCAAAGGGAACAGAGAUGUAUGUCAAUUCAAUCUUCCAAGGUGCCCAGAACGACCUGCCCAGGCACAUGCCUACAGGCCCAUUUGGUGACAGAGGACAAGCAGCAUGCAUGUGUCAGAGACUGUGCCCGGCCUGUAGACACUACCUGCCUGCCACGCCAUGAGCCUAUAAGAUGGGCAGACAGCAGCCUGCUCAGCCAUAUGACUAGUGGAAGGUGGAGGCAGGAAAGGUAUGUAGGCCUGGCCUCUGUCUGGAGCAGGUUGGUUGGCAAACUAAGGCUUCUGAUCCUCCCCCAAUGCCUGGUGGUCCUGUAGGGAGCUAAGGGAGAAGCCCUUGGUUGGAGGAGACGGACCCAGUCCCUUCCAGGAUACCUGGCUGAGACAACAAGGCAGAGACAAUUCACCCAAGCAACAGCUCCACCAGGUAACAGCCAAACUCCUACUCUGGUCUAAGGAAGAUCUCAAGAAACCAGCUGAGAAAUCUCACCCUCUUCCUGCCUCACUGUCACCCAUCAGGCAGAAAGCCUACCCAAAGGGCCCUGCCACAGCAGCAUAGCCCACCAAGCGAGGCUGUGGCUGCAAAGCCCACAGGUACACUGGCCAGCCUGGGCUACAGACAAACACCUGAGCCUCUCCAUGGACCUUCAUAUUUGGGGGCUUUCCUGAAUGGGAAAAGGCCCAGGAAUUUUGGUUUUCAAGAAUCAGGGUUCUCUUUUUCUUACAUGUAUAUACAGAAUACAUAUUUGUACUGGCAGAAAAAAGAUCUAGAAGUUAGUCACAGCUAUCUCUGGAAACUGGUUGGAUAAAUACAAUGGAGAAUUUCUUUUUUUUUUUUUUGUAGAAGUGCCGUGGCCUCACCCAGCUCACAGCAACCUCCAACUCCUGGGCCCAAGCGAUUCUAUUGCCUCAGCCUCCCGAGUAGCUGGGACUACAGGUGCCCGCCACAACACCCGGCUAUUUUUUGGUUGCAGUUUUGGCCAGGGCUGGGUUUGAACCCGCCACCCUCGGUAUAUGGGGCUGGCGCCCUACCGACUGAGCCACAGGCGCCGCCCUUUUUUUUUUUGGCCAGGGCUAGGUUUGAACCUGCCACCUCCAGCAUAUGGGACCGGCGCCCCACUCCUUGAGCCACAGGCGCCACCCCAACAACCUGCAUUUUUGUUAGGGGCAAACAGAGGCUCAAAGCGGUGGAGUGGCUUGAUCUAUGCUCUGUAGCUGCUACGUGCUGGAGCUAGGGCUUGAGCCCAGGUGGCCUGACUCCCAGGCCAGAGCAGGAGCUGCUGCCCUCCACACCCUGUUACAGCAGCUGGUUGUCAACUGCCUUAAGAGGAGAAUUGAAGGAUUCAGGGAAACAGCAGGGAUUUGGUCCAUCUAUGUGGCUGCAGCUGAAUGCUUCAGACAGUCUCAUGCUGAGUCUGCCUGUAGGAGCAACACGAAGCUAUUGGGCACAUUGGUGCCCAGCUGGGGCUUGGGCCUGCCCUCUACACACGUCAGUACCCCUUGCCCAGCCUUUCUCCCCAC
Molecule: RNA transcript, 3192 nt
Organism: Nycticebus coucang (slow loris)
Lineage: Eukaryota; Metazoa; Chordata; Mammalia; Primates; Lorisidae
Gene: EME2
Gene name: essential meiotic structure-specific endonuclease subunit 2
Exons: 10
Source: RefSeq, a predicted model, not a curated record